This is a non-coding RNA of 397 nucleotides. It matches the Rfam family "Bacterial RNase P class A". From Rfam's summary of the family: Ribonuclease P (RNase P) is a ubiquitous endoribonuclease, found in archaea, bacteria and eukarya as well as chloroplasts and mitochondria. The record is from Rfam.
AGAGUAGGCGCAGGCGGUUGCGGACUCCAAAGAGUCUGAGGAAAGUCCGGGCUCCCGAAAGCCCAAACUUGCUGGAUAACGCCCAGUGCGAGCGAUCGCGAGGAUAGUGCCACAGAAAUAUACCGCCUACAUUAGGAGCCUAAAGUGUUAAAUUUUAGACUCAAAACUGUAGGUAAGGGUGCAAAGGUGCGGUAAGAGCGCACCAGCAGCGUCGAGAGGCGCUGGCUAGGUAAACCCCAGUUGGGAGCAAGGUCGGAGGAACUACGGUUGGUCUUUUACCAGUUCCGCUUGAAUGCACCGCUAGAGGCAUCUGGUAACAGGUGUCCCAGAUAGAUAACUGCCCUCUUAGCUGCUUGCAGUUAAGGGAACAGAACCCGGCUUAUGUCCGACUCUUUCC